GUUGACCACUGUAGAGAUAUAGUUUCCCCUUCGGGGGCAACGGUGACAGGUGGUGCAUGGUUGUCGUCAGCUCGUGUCGUGAGAUGUUGGGUUAAGUCCCGCAACGAGCGCAACCCUUGAUCUUAGUUGCCAUCAUUUAGUUGGGCACUCUAAGGUGACUGCCGGUGACAAACCGGAGGAAGGUGGGGAUGACGUCAAAUCAUCAUGCCCCUUAUGACCUGGGCUACACACGUGCUACAAUGGACGAUACAAACGGUUGCCAACUCGCGAGAGGGAGCUAAUCCGAUAAAGUCGUUCUCAGUUCGGAUUGUAGGCUGCAACUCGCCUACAUGAAGCCGGAAUCGCUAGUAAUCGCGGAUCAGCAUGCCGCGGUGAAUACGUUCCCGGGCCUUGUACACACCGCCCGUCACACCACGAGAGUUUGUAACACCCGAAGUCGGUGAGGUAACCUUUUGGAGCCAGCCGCCGAAGGUGGGAUAGAUGAUUGGGGUGAAGUCGUAACAAGGUAGCCGUAUCGGAAGGUGCGGCUGGAUCACCUCCUUUCUAAGGAUAUUUCGGAAUACAAACCUUGGGUUUGUAGAUUACGUUUUGCGUUCAGUUUUGAAGGUUCAUUCUAUCUGAAUGAAACACUUC
This 633-nucleotide ribosomal RNA is filed under the name uncultured bacterium. RNAcentral describes it as "bacterial SSU rRNA". The stretch from base 1 to 543 matches the Rfam family "Bacterial small subunit ribosomal RNA", at positions 990 to 1533 of the family's 1533-position model. The record is from RNAcentral.